UACGAAGGGGACUAGCGUUGUUCGGAAUCACUGGGCGUAAAGCGCACGUAGGCGGAUAUGUCAGUCAGGGGUGAAAUCCCGGGGCUCAACCUCGGAACUGCCUUUGAUACAGCAUGUCUUGAGUCCGAUAGAGGUGGGUGGAAUUCCUAGUGUAGAGGUGAAAUUCGUAGAUAUUAGGAAGAACACCGGUGGCGAAGGCGGCGACCUGGUCCGUGACUGACGCUGAGGUGCGAAAGCGUGGGGAGCAAACAGG
This 253-nucleotide ribosomal RNA is filed under the name uncultured bacterium. RNAcentral describes it as "partial 16S ribosomal RNA". It matches the Rfam family "Bacterial small subunit ribosomal RNA", at positions 524 to 776 of the family's 1533-position model. The record is from RNAcentral.